This 465-nucleotide ribosomal RNA is filed under the name Vreelandella stevensii. RNAcentral's name for it is "partial 16S ribosomal RNA". It matches the Rfam family "Bacterial small subunit ribosomal RNA", at positions 338 to 795 of the family's 1533-position model. Lineage: Bacteria; Pseudomonadati; Pseudomonadota; Gammaproteobacteria; Oceanospirillales; Halomonadaceae. The record is from RNAcentral.
CCUACGGGUGGCAGCAGUGGGGAAUAUUGGACAAUGGGGGGAACCCUGAUCCAGCCAUGCCGCGUGUGUGAAGAAGGCCCUCGGGUUGUAAAGCACUUUCAGUGAGGAAGAACGCCUGGUGGUUAAUACCCAUCAGGAAAGACAUCACUCACAGAAGAAGCACCGGCUAACUCCGUGCCAGCAGCCGCGGUAAUACGGAGGGUGCGAGCGUUAAUCGGAAUUACUGGGCGUAAAGCGAGCGUAGGUGGCUUGAUAAGCCGGUUGUGAAAGCCCCGGGCUCAACCUGGGAACGGCAUCCGGAACUGUCAAGCUAGAGUGCAGGAGAGGAAGGUAGAAUUCCCGGUGUAGCGGUGAAAUGCGUAGAGAUCGGGAGGAAUACCAGUGGCGAAGGCGGCCCUCUGGACUGACACUGACACUGAGGUGCGAAAGCGUGGGGAGCAAACAGGAUUAGAUAUCCGAGUAGUC